Molecule: ribosomal RNA, 460 nt
Filed under: uncultured bacterium
Lineage: Bacteria
Description: partial 16S ribosomal RNA
Rfam family: Bacterial small subunit ribosomal RNA
Source: RNAcentral
CCUACGGGGGGCUGCAGUGAGGAAUAUUGGUCAAUGGGCGUACGCCUGAACCAGCCAAGUCGCGUGAGGGAAGACUGCCCUAUGGGUUGUAAACCUCUUUUGUCAGGGAGCAACGCCGGCUACGUGUAGCCGGACUGAGAGUACCUGAAGAAAAAGCAUCGGCUAACUCCGUGCCAGCAGCCGCGGUAAUACGGAGGAUGCGAGCGUUAUCCGGAUUGAUUGGGUUUAAAGGGUGCGUAGGCGGAAUGCCAAGUCAGCGGUAAAAUCGCGGGGCUCAACCUCGCUCCGCCGUUGAAACUGGCGUUCUUGAGUGGGCGAGAAGUAUGCGGAAUGCGUGGUGUAGCGGUGAAAUGCAUAGAUAUCACGCAGAACUCCGAUUGCGAAGGCAGCAUACCGGCGCCCAACUGACGCUGAAGCACGAAAGCGUGGGUAUCGAACAGGAUUAGAUACCCUGGUAGUC